GGGGCAGUGGUGGAAUGGCAGACACGGAAGUCUUAAAAACUUCUGCCUUCGGGCGUGUGGGUUCGACUCCCACCUGCCUCA
Molecule: transfer RNA, 81 nt
Filed under: Anaerolineaceae bacterium
Lineage: Bacteria; Bacillati; Chloroflexota; Anaerolineae; Anaerolineales; Anaerolineaceae
Also listed under: 1 other name
Description: tRNA-Leu
Rfam family: tRNA
About the family: Transfer RNA (tRNA) molecules are approximately 80 nucleotides in length.
Source: RNAcentral